CUCGAGUGUUUAUGGGCUCCAUCAUCAAACCUGGUCCUGCGACACAGAUGAUCACACAGCAGGUAAUUGCUAUAAAUCGUUAAAGAGUUCCCUCGACUAUCUUUCUUCUCCAUCAUCAGAUCGACUCCAGACCUUUAUUAAAUAGUAGUGCUUUAUAGUACUUAAUGAAAACAUGAUUAAAUUUACUAGUCAUCCUUACGAUUUUUGAAAGUUUCCCUCGAUUUCUCUGGGAUCCCAUCAUCAGAUCCUGGUUUCCUUAUCAUGGUACCAAACUAUGAGUAUCUCCUUUCCAACAAAAAAAGAAUCAUCCAAAGCGGUUCAUAAACGAAGAAGUUAUCUCCGAACAUACAU
Molecule: unclassified non-coding RNA, 351 nt
Filed under: Melitaea cinxia (Glanville fritillary)
Lineage: Eukaryota; Metazoa; Arthropoda; Insecta; Lepidoptera; Nymphalidae
Description: misc RNA ENSMCXG00005007511.1
Source: RNAcentral